Molecule: long non-coding RNA, 326 nt
Filed under: Homo sapiens (human)
Lineage: Eukaryota; Metazoa; Chordata; Mammalia; Primates; Hominidae
Description: non-protein coding lnc-ADGRL4-3:1
Source: RNAcentral
AUUAUUGGAAAAAAAUUCUUAACCAGUAAAAGCAUGGCACUGUGGAUUAAGUACCAGGCUAACAUCAAGGAAAUCAGGUGAUGAUAGCCUACUGUAUGUCCCCAGGUAGGAGCCAACACAUUUGCUGGUACAGAUGAGCUGCGUUCCUCACGGAGCACGGGCACAUCAAUUCUGGAACAGUCAGCCCCAUCACCAUGCUGCUUUUCUAUUUGAACCUUUCAUGCCCUGCAAGACAAGGCACGUGAAGCUGUUUUUUUUUUAUUAUUAUUGUUAUUUACACUAAUAUUGGAGAUAGAGGAUGAAUCCCAAGCAAAUUUGCCUUUCUU